CCUACGGGAGGCAGCAGUGGGGAAUAUUGCGCAAUGGGCGAAAGCCUGACGCAGCGACGCCGCGUGAGGGAUGAAGGCCUUCGGGUUGUAAACCUCUUUCAGCAGGGACGAAGCGAAAGUGACGGUACCUGCAGAAGAAGCACCGGCUAACUACGUGCCAGCAGCCGCGGUAAUACGUAGGGUGCAAGCAUUGUCCGGAUUUAUUGGGCGUAAAGAGCUCGUAGGCGGCUUGUCACGUCGGGUGUGAAAACUCGGGGCUCAACCCCGAGCCUGCACUCGAUACGGGCUAGCUAGAGUAUUGCAGGGGAGACUGGAAUUCCUGGUGUAGCGGUGAAAUGCGCAGAUAUCAGGAGGAACACCGGUGGCGAAGGCGGGUCUCUGGGCAAUUACUGACGCUGAGGAGCGAAAGCGUGGGGAGCGAACAGGAUUAGAUACCCUGGUAGUCCACGCCGUAAACGGUGGGCGCUAGGUGUGGGGAAACCUUCCACGUUCUCUGUGCCGCNGCUACGACAUAGCGCCCGCCGUCGGGAGGACGGCCGCGACGACGAAACUACAAGAAGUAGACGCGUGAGACGUGCGACGGACGACGACGAGGGAGGAGG
Molecule: ribosomal RNA, 602 nt
Filed under: uncultured bacterium
Lineage: Bacteria
Description: bacterial SSU rRNA
Rfam family: Bacterial small subunit ribosomal RNA (bases 1-523)
Source: RNAcentral